AAUGCAUGGUAGACUCCUUGGAGAAGUGGUUUGCUAUGUUUUCUCCUUUUGCAAAAGACUUGAUUGAAAACUAAAACAUUGUCUGUGGUUGUCUUUUUAUGAAGGUUUGAGAAAUACCUAUCAAAAACAAAGACAUAUUUUCUCGUCAUGCUGAUAUUUCCACUUUCUAAAACAUAAUUUAAAAACAUUUAACUGUACAGGUUCUUCCUUUGCAACAUGAUUCAAGUCUUAAGUCUUUGCCCAGCCUACAAGCAGCCAGCAUUUUGUAAACUGGUACAGGAAGGCUCUGCACAGAUCUGAUCUGCAGAUGCCAGUGGAACAAAACCAACAGUAGCAAAGAAAAAUAAAGACAGAGGUGUGUAGCUACGGUGGUACUGUAGUGACACUUCAACUGCUUAAAAGGUAGGAAAUGACUUGAAAUGUUUGCUGGUUGCUUCAGUUAUUGUGUGUGAUUGGUGAUCUUCAACAUCUAGGAUGUUAUUAAAGUAUGCUCGAUGUAUCAAGACAAGAAGACUUACUGCAGGUAAUUGCAAGAAGCAUUUAUUUUACUUCAGUUCAUCAAGCUAGUCUUUUCAUCUAAGAUGAAAUAUUUAAUCAAAUGUUACCUGAAGUCUGUUACCAGGAAAUAUUUAACACAGGUGAUACUUGAAAGCAAUUUUUUUUACUACAUCUAAACACCAUAUUUCUAUCACAAUGCCAAAGAUUUUAUUUUAUUUUUUUUAAGGUAAAAAGUGUCAGGAACCUGUGUGCAUGUGUGUGUGAGUAACACAUCUUCUCUAGCGAGGAUCUUGGUGAGGAGCCAGGGCAGUCAACACAGGUGGAGAUCAUCAGCCUCAUCAGGGGUUGGGAAUAAAGGAGCUGCAGAGUCUUCAAUCAGUGCUGGAGGAUUAACGCUACCGGUAGUCUCUCUGGCUCUCUCUCUCGUUGUCUGCUAGUUUUAGCUUAUGUUUAGUCUCUCGAGCUUUGCUACCAGAGUUUCAUAUCCUUGUGUUGCUGCCUCCAGGUUUCAUCAAGGAAAUCUCCAAGAAGGAGUUGUCCAUCUGUUUUCACUCUCCAAGUCUCUUAUUUGCGAAGAAUCUGCCUGCCCAUUCCCAGCCAUCAUUUAACUCCAUCUGGACCUUUGGCUCACAUUACCCUCACCAAAUUCCACACGGGUUUCAGGACAACCUUCCCCCCACAGUUCACCAGAACCGUCAUACGAGUGCCGCCGUUUGUGGAUCACUUCCAUUAUCCUGAGACGCUACGUGGACCUGUCAAUUGUGUUCGAUCUUUUGUUAAUAAAUCCCUUUUUCUGGACUUGGACUUGUUGAGUCUGCAUGUGGGUCAAAAGAUUAGAGCCGAUCAUGUCAAAAAGUUUCUCUAGGCGGAGAAAUUGGUUUUUCAAAUGAAGAUUCGUGUUUGUAUGGCUUUCUCAUAUAAGCAAAAUCGAUUUUGUUUAUGUUACUAUACAUUAAUAAAAAAAGGACAAUGAUCAAAGAUAAAAUUGGGGCUAAAAUAAAAACAUAAGCACUAUAAAUAAAACUGUUUUGCCUUACACAGACUUGUAAUCUGAGGAAAUUACGAUGACUGAUUACAAUGAGAUUGAUGCAGCAGAAUAUCAGACCCGUAUUAAAAAUCACGUGAAAGUGGAAGUGCACUCUCAUCACGUGUUUCUGACAGUUUCCGACACUGCCACUUCAGAAGGAGCCAGAAGGAAUGAUCCAAUUACCUCCUUCGGCCAGCAGAGGGAGCUUGUAUACGGCGCAUAAAACAACAGUGAGUACAACCCUCACAAUUUUGAAAAUAUUUUACUACAUUUUUUUAUGGGAAAAUAAUGAUGAUA
Long non-coding RNA from Xiphophorus hellerii (green swordtail), 1822 nucleotides. RefSeq lists it as uncharacterized. The transcript is spliced from 2 exons. The record is from RefSeq and is a predicted model, not a curated record. Lineage: Eukaryota; Metazoa; Chordata; Actinopteri; Cyprinodontiformes; Poeciliidae.